This 475-nucleotide ribosomal RNA is filed under the name Dehalococcoidales bacterium. Its description in RNAcentral is "partial 23S ribosomal RNA". It matches the Rfam family "Archaeal large subunit ribosomal RNA", at positions 71 to 546 of the family's 2987-position model. Lineage: Bacteria; Bacillati; Chloroflexota; Dehalococcoidia; Dehalococcoidales. The record is from RNAcentral.
AUAAGCCCGGGGUAGGCGCACGCGACCUAUGAUCCCGGGAUGUCCGAAUGAGAAUCUUGUGUUUACACACUCCGUUGCAAUGGCAGCGGAGAUCGAACCGUCGGAAUUGAAGCAUCUUAGUACGACGAGGAAAAGAAAUCAAUUGAGAUUUCCCAAGUAGUGGCGAACGAAACGGAAACAGCCCAAACUGAAUCUGUUAUGGUAACAUAACAGAGAUGUGGUGUUUUGGUUAUGAUAUUACGAUCCUAGAAUACAGCUGAAGUGUUCUGGAACGUACCGGCGAAGUGGGUGAUACCCCCGUAAGCGAAGUAGUAUAGGAUCUUAUCAUGACCCGAGUAGCUGUCCUUGGCAGUGGGCAGUGAAUAUAGGUGAAAGUAGUAUCUGAGGCUAAAUAUUUCUCAAGACCGAUAGUGAACUAGUACCGUGAGGGAAAGCUGAAAAGUACCCCGGAAGGGGGCUGAAAAGCGCAUGAAAC